Molecule: ribosomal RNA, 2881 nt
Filed under: Burkholderia multivorans
Lineage: Bacteria; Pseudomonadati; Pseudomonadota; Betaproteobacteria; Burkholderiales; Burkholderiaceae
Description: 23S ribosomal RNA
Rfam family: Bacterial large subunit ribosomal RNA
Source: RNAcentral
GGUCAAGCGAACAAGUGCAUGUGGUGGAUGCCUUGGCGAUCACAGGCGAUGAAGGACGCGGUAGCCUGCGAAAAGCCCCGGGGAGCUGGCAAACAAGCUUUGAUCCGGGGAUGUCCGAAUGGGGAAACCCACUCCGUAUGGAGUAUCCAUGACUGAAUACAUAGGUCAUGUGAAGCGAACGCGGUGAACUGAAACAUCUAAGUAACCGCAGGAAAAGAAAUCAACCGAGAUUCCCAAAGUAGUGGCGAGCGAAAUGGGAUGAGCCUUGUACUCUUUAUUUGUAUUGUUAGCCGAACGCUCUGGAAAGUGCGGCCAUAGCAGGUGAUAGCCCUGUAGGCGAAAACAGUAUGAAAGAACUAGGUGUACGACAAGUAGGGCGGGACACGUGAAAUCCUGUCUGAAGAUGGGGGGACCAUCCUCCAAGGCUAAAUACUCGUGAUCGACCGAUAGUGAACCAGUACCGUGAGGGAAAGGCGAAAAGAACCCCGGGAGGGGAGUGAAAUAGAUCCUGAAACCGCAUGCAUACAAACAGUCGGAGCCUCGUAAGGGGUGACGGCGUACCUUUUGUAUAAUGGGUCAGCGACUUACGUUCAGUAGCAAGCUUAACCGUAUAGGGCAGGCGUAGCGAAAGCGAGUCCGAAUAGGGCGUUCAGUUGCUGGGCGUAGACCCGAAACCAGGUGAUCUAUCCAUGGCCAGGAUGAAGGUGCGGUAACACGUACUGGAGGUCCGAACCCACUAACGUUGAAAAGUUAGGGGAUGAGCUGUGGAUAGGGGUGAAAGGCUAAACAAACCUGGAAAUAGCUGGUUCUCUCCGAAAACUAUUUAGGUAGUGCCUCGUGUCUCACCUUCGGGGGUAGAGCACUGUCAUGGUUGGGGGGUCUAUUGCAGAUUACCCCGCCAUAGCAAACUCCGAAUACCGAAGAGUGCAAUCACGGGAGACAGACAUCGGGUGCUAACGUCCGGUGUCAAGAGGGAAACAACCCAGACCGCCAGCUAAGGUCCCCAAAUAUGGCUAAGUGGGAAACGAAGUGGGAAGGCUAAAACAGUCAGGAGGUUGGCUUAGAAGCAGCCACCCUUUAAAGAAAGCGUAAUAGCUCACUGAUCGAGUCGUCCUGCGCGGAAGAUGUAACGGGGCUAAGCCAUAUACCGAAGCUGCGGAUGCGAGCUUGCUCGCAUGGUAGGAGAGCGUUCCGUAAGCCUGCGAAGGUGCCUUGUAAAGGGUGCUGGAGGUAUCGGAAGUGCGAAUGCUGACAUGAGUAGCGAUAAAGGGGGUGAAAGGCCCCCUCGCCGUAAGCCCAAGGUUUCCUACGCAACGUUCAUCGGCGUAGGGUGAGUCGGCCCCUAAGGCGAGGCAGAAAUGCGUAGCUGAUGGGAAGCAGGUCAAUAUUCCUGCACCAUUGUUAGAUGCGAUGGGGGGACGGAUCGCGGAAGGUUGUCCGGGUGUUGGACGUCCCGGUCGCUGCAUUGGAGAAGGCGCUUAGGUAAAUCCGGGCGCAGGAUUCAAGGGUGUGGCGCGAGCGACUUCGGUCGCGAAGCAAUUGGAAGUGGUUCCAAGAAAAGCCUCUAAGCUUCAGUCUAACGAUGACCGUACCGCAAACCGACACAGGUGGGCGAGAUGAGUAUUCUAAGGCGCUUGAGAGAACUCGGGAGAAGGAACUCGGCAAAUUGGUACCGUAACUUCGGGAUAAGGUACGCCCUUGUAGCUUGACCAGCCUGCGCUGGAAGGGUGAAGGGGUUGCAAUAAACUGGUGGCUGCGACUGUUUAAUAAAAACACAGCACUCUGCAAACACGAAAGUGGACGUAUAGGGUGUGACGCCUGCCCGGUGCCGGAAGAUUAAAUGAUGGGGUGCAAGCUCUUGAUUGAAGUCCCGGUAAACGGCGGCCGUAACUAUAACGGUCCUAAGGUAGCGAAAUUCCUUGUCGGGUAAGUUCCGACCUGCACGAAUGGCGUAACGAUGGCCACACUGUCUCCUCCCGAGACUCAGCGAAGUUGAAGUGUUUGUGAUGAUGCAAUCUACCCGCGGCUAGACGGAAAGACCCCAUGAACCUUUACUGUAGCUUUGCAUUGGACUUUGAACCGAUCUGUGUAGGAUAGGUGGGAGGCUAUGAAACCGGAACGCUAGUUUCGGUGGAGCCGUCCUUGAAAUACCACCCUGGUUUGUUUGAGGUUCUAACCUUGGUCCGUGAUCCGGAUCGGGGACAGUGCAUGGUAGGCAGUUUGACUGGGGCGGUCUCCUCCCAAAGGGUAACGGAGGAGUACGAAGGUACGCUAGGUACGGUCGGAAAUCGUGCUGAUAGUGCAAUGGCAUAAGCGUGCUUAACUGCGAGACCGACAAGUCGAGCAGGUGCGAAAGCAGGUCAUAGUGAUCCGGUGGUUCUGUAUGGAAGGGCCAUCGCUCAACGGAUAAAAGGUACUCUGGGGAUAACAGGCUGAUACCGCCCAAGAGUUCAUAUCGACGGCGGUGUUUGGCACCUCGAUGUCGGCUCAUCUCAUCCUGGGGCUGUAGCCGGUCCCAAGGGUAUGGCUGUUCGCCAUUUAAAGAGGUACGUGAGCUGGGUUUAAAACGUCGUGAGACAGUUUGGUCCCUAUCUGCCGUGGGCGUUGGAUAUUUGAAGGGGGCUGCUCCUAGUACGAGAGGACCGGAGUGGACGAACCUCUGGUGUACCGGUUGUGACGCCAGUCGCAUCGCCGGGUAGCUAUGUUCGGAAGAGAUAACCGCUGAAAGCAUCUAAGCGGGAAACUCGCCUUAAGAUGAGAUAUCCCUGGAGGCUUGACCUCCUUGAAGGGUCGUUCGAGACCAGGACGUUGAUAGGUCGGGUGUGUAAGCGCAGUAAUGCGUUCAGCUAACCGAUACUAAUUGCCCGUAAGGCUUGAUCCU